CAUCCCCUAGCAUAAGGGAGUCUGGGAGGGCAAAUAACUAGACUGUCAGACAUCUGUAGCUAGAGGCUGGCACCCCACUUCAAUGACCUGUGAGGCAGGACAGUCCUCAAACAGCUGGGGGAGGUUUGGGCACCAAGCAGUCUCAAGGAAUGCCAUGUGUCUGCCAGGGUGCCCUGGUCCAGCCCCUAGGUGUCAACAAGCACCAUGGGGUGGGGGUGGGAAGGGUGGGUAGGAGGUCCAGGGGGGCAGUGUGUAGACAAACACAUUGCUUGCCAACACGAACACCCACAGGCACGUUCAUCACAGCACUGCAUCACUGCACCCACUAUCCAGCAGAGGAAACCAGUGUGGAGAAGCCUCUGCGUCUGCUGCUGCAAGAUCUCAGGAGGAUACUGGGGGGAGCAUGCAGGGGUGGGGUGAGGUCUGAGGAUGGAGUUCCAGUGAUAGAUGGCAGGAUAAACUGCCACUGGCUGUGGGGCAGGUCCCGUAUCAAGUGUUGAAAUCUACCAUCUGAUUUAUCACUACAGUCCAGUGAAGUAGUCACGUUACACAGAUGGGGAAACAGAGGCAUGGGAAGGGUAAGUGGCUGGCCGUGGUCAUGGAUCUGAAGUGGGUGGUCCGACUCCACUGCACUGGCCCCUGCUCCUCAUGCCCCCAGCUCCAGCUCACUCAGGGCUCCCCACCUCUAUCACCAGUGCCAGCACUCCUUUGGCUGUUCAGGCUCUACACCUUCUGAUGAGCUCCCCUAGGCCCUGAUUUCCUCAGGGGAGCCCUUUGACAUACAUGCCUCCCAUCAGUGUGGACUGCUGAUGAGGGCGUGUUAGCCCUGCUCCCCCUUGUGUCACUCAGAAAGCAAAGUCCCCAUGAGCCCAGGUCCUGGUUAGGAUUGGGGAACCAAGACAGCUAAGGAGAUGCAGAAGUGGGCACUGGGGUGUUCACCCCCUUGGUACCCACCCGGGGGUGUGUCCAUCCGAUCAGCUUCCACAUCCCAGAAUGACAUGUCUCCAAGACUUGGGAGCAGCCCCUCAAAAGGAAGGAGAUGCUGGAUGGCUGAAACAGAAGGCCCCUUUGCAAGGCCACGAGCAAACGUUGUGCCAGCUGGUGGGGGUGCAGAGUGGUGCAGACAGGACCUCAUGGUGGUUCUCCAUCCCACCCCCAACUCACCACAGGCACCAGUGUCCAUCUCCAUGUUGCUUGGGGGGCAGUGAGUAGGAGCCUCCUAAAUGUCCAUCUCCGGGAGAGUGGGGAAGAAGGGGUGCACCCCCAUUAGGAAGAGCCCCGAACUCGAAAGUAACAUUGAGGGGUGCCUCCUUAUGAAAUAUUGCUAGAGCAUUAACAAGUCCUGUCUGAGGGUCACGUUGUAGAUGAAACCAUUUAACUAACAAUUGUUUAGAAGCCGUCAUUUACCACUCCUGCCAAGUCCCAGGUUAACCUGCAUAAAGCCGGUUCAGGUGUCUGUUUUUGUUCACUCUGAUAGACAAGCUACCCCCAGGUGUUAGGGUUUCCUGUCCUGCAGGGCGUUCACCAGUUUGCAUGCAGCAGCCACACUCUCCCGCCAGCCAGAUGGUCCCACUUCUUGCAUUCCUCUUCCUGGCGAGGUCUGGCAUUCUGGUCGGCUGUAAGUGAGCUAAACAAAACAGGGCUCUGCACAGGCUAUGGUAGUGAUGGGGAGGCAAGAAUGAAGAUAUGGAGAUCACAGACUCUGCAUGCGAAAAGCAGUAAGCAGGUAAACCAGCAACAUGCCCCGCAGUUGCCACCGUGAUCAGGUGCAAACCCCAACUCCGCUCCUUACUUGCUUGUGAAGGGGUGAAUAGCAGGAGUGCCCGGGUCCUUCCUCAUCGGGGUCCGUGCGGUGGGUGCCUGCUCACUGGUCCCUUGAAUCCAUUCUGAUCUCACUUCCAAGAUACACCCUUCAGCUACAUCCUUCUUCAUCUUUGUCACCUACCUGCUUAAAACCUACUUCUUGGCUCCAGGGACGGCACUGGGGUAUGAGGAAGAGCUGAGAACAGAGAUGUGUGAAGCCAGCGCAAUUCACCUCCACCAUAUUUUCUUAGCCAAAGCAAAUUGCAAGGCCACUCCGCAUCCAAGCCCCCAAUUCCUGAUGAGGGAGUCGUAGAGUCAUGUUGCAAAUGGUUGGAUGUGCAACCCCUCUGGUAAAUCCUGUCCCAUUUGUUCAGAAAUCUUUAAGAAGUACCUGCUGUAGACAGGUAUCGUGUCAAGUGGCCCAUGGAAACAGCAGUGAAUCAAGAAGUCCCUGUCUGGCUGAGCUGACACUCUAACCGCCCAGGGCAUGUUUGGAGGCAGAUGGUGGAGACCGGGGAGUCGGGAAGGUCGGAGGACAGGCUUGGGUGAGGCCUGGGGAAGACCAGAGAGGGAACAACCAGAUCCAAGGCCUGGGGGGCAGAGAGGGCCUGGUGUUGGGAGGAGGCCAGUGUGCCUGGAGCGAGGAGGGAGGGGAAGAUGAGUAAUGAACGCCUGGGCUGACAGGAGAGGUUAACUAUAUUUUCAGGACUCUGGGAAGCCGCUGGAAGGUUUUGGGAAGGCACUGCAUUAUUCUGUUUGUAUUUUAAGAGCAACGUUUUGGCUGCCAUAUGGCAAACAGGUGAUGGAGGUGGAGGGGCGGGAAGAGGAUGAAAGCAGGACAUUCAGAGGCAUGUCCUGCUCAGAGUUGAUAAGAUGCAGGUGAGGGUGAAUCCCUUCUGGGAAAAGAACAGUGUCCUCCACGUCCUCACUCAUGACCUUGGAUCCAACCAUGUCCCCUAGUCUCUGAUCAUGCAAACAGGAAGAUGAGUAGUACAUUGGGGCAUGGCUGCAUGAUUAAGCAAAUAGGCUCCAGAGUCCAAAUACCUGGAUUUGGAUCUGGUUAUUUGCUAUCUGUGCAAUUUUGGAAAAGUUACUUAACCUCUCUGAGUCUCCAUGCUUGUCAUUGGUUCCACAAGAGUGAUAUCUACCCCAUACAGUUAUCAGGAGAAUUCAGUGAGUUCAGGUGCACAACGUCUUUAGCACAUCACUUGGAGCCCAAUUAGUGCCUACGAUUACUAUAAAUACAAUUAUGAUAUUGGAUAAAGGCACCUUUUCACAGUGGGUCCCUUCCCCCUGCUGUAUAGGCAGAGUCUCAAUACUUAAUUAUUCUCAUGACAACUCCGUGAAGAUAUUUAUUAUUUUUUUAAAAUCAUUUCUAAAAAUAAGGAAAUCAACAGUUGGCUACCUAGGAAGUGGCAAAGCCGGGAUUCACUGGUUCUGGAGCUCUCUUUCUUUUUUUUUUUUUUUUUUUAAUUUUUAAUUUAUUCAUUCAUGAGAAAGAGAGAGAGGCAGAGACACAGGCAGAGGGAGAAGCAGGCUCACCAUGGGGAGCCUGAUGUAGAACUCGAUCCCUGGACCCUGGGAUCACAACCUGAGCCGAAGGCAGAUGCUCAACCACUGAGCUACCCAGGGGUCCCUGGAGCUCUCUUUCCAAUGUCCCUUUCUUGCACACCGAAGACACAGAGCAGCCUGGGGAAUGAGAGAUGCCAGGACAAUAAGGCAUGUAAAGGUGCUGAAUUCCAGGGUGGGGAGCCAGUUACAAGCCACUGACUAUCCCCUCGCCCCCAUCACAGAACCCACGGGGAAGUUUCAGGUUCAUCCUUUAAUCUUGAGCAUCAGAGGGUUUCUAAGGCAGGGGUUCCAAGUGAUGUAACAGGGGCUAAAGAAGCUGCAGAGACAGGUGAAGGAGCUAGAGGGGUGUACAAUAGGGCCUGGUGAGGUCUGUGGUGAUCCAGAAAGAACACACUCUAUCUGCUCCUCAGCCCUGGCAGGUGGACCCAGUGUUUACAGACCUCUGACACAUUGAGGGAAGCCAGAGAUCCAGAUCGUUAUGUGAAAUUCCUGAACUCUACAUGCUGGUGACUCAGCCUGCAAUUCUUCAAAAACACCACAGAGGAAGCAAAAACAGAUGAAAAGAAAACAUAAAGCAAACAAGCUAACACACCCAAAGCGUGCCCAACGGUCUGGUCAGGGCUACCUCUUUGCAACAUCUGACAUGAUUCCUCAGUUUACCAGUGAAGCAAUGGAGAUCCAAAGAUCUGUUGUGUCUCUCCCACAACUGCAUGGCAGGCCAGUGAGAUGUGAGGAUGUCGGAGAGAGGACGACUAGCCGAGUCCUUCCUUUCGGGAGUGUAGGGGUGGGGUGAAGUGGUGGACACAGAGGUGGAGAACCCAAAGGUAUUGGAACAACACUGAUCUUUGGGUUAUGGGCAGGAAAGGGAGUGAGGUCUUAAUCCUAACCAAGUUCCCAACCCCAUGGGGCACCUGGGUGGCUCUAUCAGUUGGAUGUCCAACUCUUCGUUUUGGUUUGGGUCAUUAUCUUAGGGUCCUGAGAUCGACCCCUGCAUCAGGCUUUGCACUCAGUGGGGAGUCUGUUUCUUCCUCUCCCUCUGCCUCUCCCCCUGCUCACAUGUGCAUGCACCCGCUUGCUCUC
This 4455-nucleotide long non-coding RNA is filed under the name Canis lupus familiaris (dog). RNAcentral's name for it is "lncRNA (ENSCAFG00845000300.1)". The record is from RNAcentral. Lineage: Eukaryota; Metazoa; Chordata; Mammalia; Carnivora; Canidae.